RNAcentral lists this microRNA precursor (86 nucleotides) under Carlito syrichta (Philippine tarsier). RNAcentral describes it as "microRNA 206 (ENSTSYG00000030830.1)". The stretch from base 6 to 81 matches the Rfam family "mir-1 microRNA precursor family". From Rfam's summary of the family: This family represents the microRNA (miRNA) mir-1 family. miRNAs are transcribed as ~70nt precursors (modelled here) and subsequently processed by the Dicer enzyme to give a ~22nt product. The record is from RNAcentral. Lineage: Eukaryota; Metazoa; Chordata; Mammalia; Primates; Tarsiidae.
UGCUUCCUGAGGUCACAUGCUUCUUUAUAUCCCCAUAUGGAUUAUCUUGCUAUGGAAUGUAAGGAAGUGUGUGGUUUCGGCAAGUG